AAGAAGAAGAAAUAAGAAAGAAAAGAAGAAUCUAUGAGGUUAGAUGUGGUGCAGAAAUGGGUUGUUGUAAAUCAAAUAUAACAUUUAAUUAAUUUCAUCAACCCAAAAAGUAACUAGAACAAUUAGAACAUCAUCAAAUAAUUAAAAGAAAGAUGAAGGUUUUAAAAGGUAACCCAAUUUAGAAGAUAUAAUGUUCUGACUUAUAUACAUAUAAGUUUUCCAACUUAUUUCUUGAUAUUCUCUGCAAGGUUUAAAAUUUAUCAUACAGGAGUGGAAUUGUCCCAUUGUUGUUAUUGAAACGUCCUAAGAUUGAUUACCAAAUAGAUUACCUGAUACUUAAUUUAUUUGUAAGAAAAGUUUUGGUGUUAUAUUAUUCUUGAAUAAAACAAAUAUAUGUUUUUUUGUUCACACAGAGGGAACUAUUUAUUGAAUUCUGCAUCCCUUUUUAGUAUAACUCCAAAAAAUAUGAUUCCAUC
This 476-nucleotide long non-coding RNA is filed under the name Onthophagus taurus. RNAcentral describes it as "uncharacterized LOC111424845, transcript variant X1". The record is from RNAcentral. Lineage: Eukaryota; Metazoa; Arthropoda; Insecta; Coleoptera; Scarabaeidae.